GCAUAUCAAUAAGCGGAGGAAAAGAAACCAACAGGGAUUACCUCAGUAACGGCGAGUGAAGCGGUAACAGCUCAAAUUUGAAAUCUGGCCGCAAGGUCCGAGUUGUAAUUUGUAGAGGAUGUUUCGAGCAUGGUCUGGCCUAAGUUCCUUGGAACAGGACGUCAUAGAGGGUGAGAAUCCCGUAUGCGGUCAGGUGCCUACGCUCAUGUGAAACUCCUUCGACGAGUCGAGUUGUUUGGGAAUGCAGCUCAAAAUGGGUGGUAAAUUUCAUCUAAAGCUAAAUAUUGGCCAGAGACCGAUAGCGCACAAGUAGAGUGAUCGAAAGAUGAAAAGCACUUUGGAAAGAGAGUUAAACAGUACGUGAAAUUGUUGAAAGGGAAGCGCUUGCAACCAGACUUGCGCGCGGCUGAUCAUCCGGGCUUCUGCCCGGUGCACUCGGUCGCGCUCAGGCCAGCAUCGGUUUUGGUGGCGGGAUAAAGGCCUUGGGAAUGUAGCUCCUCUCGGGGAGUGUUAUAGCCCAGGGUGCAAUGCCGCCUACCGGGACCGAGGACCGCGCUUCGGCUAGGAUGCUGGCGUAAUGGUUGUAAGCGACCCGUCUUGAAACACGGACC
This 611-nucleotide ribosomal RNA is filed under the name Leuconeurospora sp. IDO-2013. RNAcentral's name for it is "eukaryotic LSU rRNA". It matches the Rfam family "Eukaryotic large subunit ribosomal RNA", at positions 38 to 667 of the family's 3401-position model. The record is from RNAcentral. Lineage: Eukaryota; Fungi; Ascomycota; Leotiomycetes; Thelebolales; Pseudeurotiaceae.